GACGUAGGGGGCGAGCGUUGUCCGGAUUCAUUGGGCGUAAAGCGCGCGUAGGCGGUUCGGCAAGUCGGAGGUGAAAACCCGGAGCUCAACUCCGGGCCUGCAUCCGAUACUCCCGGACUAGAGGUAGGUAGGGGAGAUCGGAAUUCCUGGUGUAGCGGUGAAAUGCGCAGAUAUCAGGAGGAACACCGGUGGCGAAGGCGGAUCUCUGGGCCUUACCUGACGCUCAGGCGCGAAAGCUAGGGGAGCGAACAGG
Molecule: ribosomal RNA, 253 nt
Filed under: uncultured bacterium
Lineage: Bacteria
Description: partial 16S ribosomal RNA
Rfam family: Bacterial small subunit ribosomal RNA
Source: RNAcentral